UUAUCCGGAUUUAUUGGGUGUAAAGGGUGCGUAGACGGGAGAACAAGUUAGUUGUGAAAGCCCUCGGCUUAACUGAGGAACUGCAACUAAAACUAUUUUUCUUGAGUGCAGGAGAGGAAAGCGGAAUUCCUAGUGUAGCGGUGAAAUGCGUAGAUAUUAGGAGGAACACCAGUGGCGAAGGCGGCUUUCUGGACUGUAACUGACGUUGAGGCACGAAAGUGUGGGGAGCAAACAGGAUUAGAUACCCUGGUAGUCCACACUGUAAACGAUGGAUACUAGGUGUAGGAGAUGAUUUCAUCAUCUGUGCCGAAGCAAACGCAAUAAGUAUCCCACCUGGGGAGUACGGCCGCAAGGUUGAAACUCAAAGGAAUUGACGGGGGCCCGCACAAGCAGUGGAGUAUGUGGUUUAAUUCGAAGCAACGCGAAGAA
Molecule: ribosomal RNA, 429 nt
Filed under: uncultured bacterium
Lineage: Bacteria
Description: bacterial SSU rRNA
Rfam family: Bacterial small subunit ribosomal RNA
Source: RNAcentral